This 199-nucleotide ribosomal RNA is filed under the name Alopias superciliosus (bigeye thresher). RNAcentral's name for it is "partial small subunit ribosomal RNA". Lineage: Eukaryota; Metazoa; Chordata; Chondrichthyes; Lamniformes; Alopiidae. The record is from RNAcentral.
CACCGCGGUUAUACGAGUAACUCACAUUAAUACUUUCCCGGCGUAAAGAGUGAUUUAAGGAAUAUCUAUAAUAACUAAAGUUAAGACCUCAUCAAGCUGUUACACGCACUCACGAGUGGAAUUAUCAAUAACGAAAGUGACUUUACCCCACCAGAAAUCUUGACGUCACGACAGUUAGACCCCAAACUAGGAUUAGAUA